UUCCUACGGGGGGCUGCAGUGGGGAAUCUUGCGCAAUGGGCGAAAGCCUGACGCAGCAACGCCGCGUGAGCGAAGAAGGCCUUCGGGUUGUAAAGCUCUGUCAGGAGGGACGAAUCCACUCGGGUGAACAGCCCAGAGGGUGACGGUACCUCCAGAGGAAGCCCCGGCUAACUACGUGCCAGCAGCCGCGGUAAUACGUAGGGGGCGAGCGUUGUCCGGAAUCAUUGGGCGUAAAGCGCGUGUAGGCGGCUCGGCAAGUCCGAUGUGAAAGCUCGAGGCUCAACCUCGAGUCUGCAUUGGAAACUGCCGUGCUAGAGUCCGGAAGAGGGGACUGGAAUUCCUGGUGUAGCGGUGAAAUGCGCAGAUAUCAGGAAGAACACCGGUGGCGAAGGCGGGUCCCUGGGACGGUACUGACGCUGAGACGCGAAAGCGUGGGGAGCAAACAGGAUUAGAUACCCCUGUAGUCA
RNAcentral lists this ribosomal RNA (467 nucleotides) under uncultured Gaiellales bacterium. RNAcentral describes it as "bacterial SSU rRNA". It matches the Rfam family "Bacterial small subunit ribosomal RNA", at positions 336 to 796 of the family's 1533-position model. Lineage: Bacteria; Bacillati; Actinomycetota; Thermoleophilia; Gaiellales. The record is from RNAcentral.